This 61-nucleotide transfer RNA is filed under the name bovine gut metagenome. It matches the Rfam family "tRNA", at positions 6 to 62 of the family's 71-position model. From Rfam's summary of the family: Transfer RNA (tRNA) molecules are approximately 80 nucleotides in length. Their secondary structure includes four short double-helical elements and three loops (D, anti-codon, and T loops). Further hydrogen bonds mediate the characteristic L-shaped molecular structure. tRNAs have two regions of fundamental functional importance: the anti-codon, which is responsible for specific mRNA codon recognition, and the 3' end, to which the tRNAs corresponding amino acid is attached (by aminoacyl-tRNA synthetases). tRNAs cope with the degeneracy of the genetic code in two manners: having more than one tRNA (with a specific anti-codon) for a particular amino acid; and 'wobble' base-pairing, i.e. permitting non-standard base-pairing at the 3rd anti-codon position. The record is from RNAcentral.
UCUGUAGCUCAGUUGGUAGAGCAACGGACUCUUAAUCCGUGGGUCCUCGGUUCGAGUCCGA